GUCGGGUUCCUAACCGGAGCCGGGGCCCUGGAAAGGCAAGGGGCCUGAGAGGGGCCGGGCCUACCCCUAUGCGCCGCAGGGACCCCGGAAUGGACCUGACGUUGGACUGAGCACUGACCUUAGAAGCACAGGCUCCGGACGCGCAGGCUCAGCGGCCAUAGCUCACGGGCCCAGCCGCUCCACGGCAUGUGGACUCUUCCUGGACCGGGGCACGAACCCAUGUCUCCUGCAUCAGCAAGCGGACUCUCAACCACUGCGCCACCAGUUUUAGGUUCACAGCAAAACUGAGCGGGAAGUGCAGAGUUCCCGUAUACCCCUGUCUACACAGCCUGCCCUACUAUCAACAUCCUGCACCAGAGGAGUACAUUUGUUACAAUCCCUGUACCUACACUGAUGCAUCGUUAUCACCUGAAGUUCUCCAGAAUGUUUUCGUCUUGUGGAACUGAAACUCCAUACCCAUUAAACAGCGACUGCCCAUCCUCCAUUUGCCCCAGCUCCUGGCAGCCACCAUCCUACUUCCUGUCACUAUGAAUUUGACUACUCUAGAUGGGAAGACAACUUAGCCAGCAGAGACACCUGCCCCCAUGGAGAGUACCUGGAAUGAUUCAGCCAGGUUUCCUGGUUUGGACGGGUCCCCUUCCUCCUACACCAUUCCUGGACACCUGUCUCAAAGCUCUGACUGAUCUCCCUCCAAGAGAAUAGCCUUCCCAGACAGAUCUCUCUGUGCAGCAGUCUGAGGCCAGAACUACAUUUCCCAGGAUCCCUUGCAGCUAGAACACAAGCAUGUGACCCAGACUCCACCAAUCAGAUGCACCAUUGUGAGAAGGCACCUGGAGGAAUUCUUUCCUAGGGGCCUCAGGGGAGCAGUCAUUGAGCUCUCAGGGCAGCAGGAGCAGAGGUGGUGGUGUCCUAUCUCAGUAACUAAAGUGCCAAUGGCACCUUCACUCCAGCAGUGGUGGGAAAGUGAGUUGGGUAUUGUUCCAGGCUGUAGAGCCUCCAGGUAUGAUCUUCUGGCCUUCCUAGAAAUUCUGUAAGCCACACAAUUAUCCUUCAAUAAAUCAG
Molecule: long non-coding RNA, 1062 nt
Organism: Mesoplodon densirostris (Blainville's beaked whale)
Lineage: Eukaryota; Metazoa; Chordata; Mammalia; Artiodactyla; Ziphiidae
Exons: 5
Source: RefSeq, a predicted model, not a curated record